AGUUGAUUGUCUCUAUCAUUAACAUCAUUUUCUGCUGCUGUGAUUGAAAUGCUGUCAAAGAUUUAUUUUCAACAAUGUCUUCAUGAAGAAUGGAAUAAACUAUUUUAAAAUAAAUCAUUCUACUUACAGGUCCACAGUGGAGCAGGUACCCAUUCUGAAGCCCACAGAGGAUCCCACACAGAAACAAGUGGAUGCCCAAAAAAGGAUUUGACCUACAGAGGAGCAAGUUUUCUGGCAGGACCUGUGAACCCAUUAGGGACCCAGGCUGGAGAAAGUCAAGAAGUAUUGUAUCCUAUAGGAGGGACCCAACGCUGGAGCAGGGGAAGAGAAUGAGGAAGAAGGAGUAGCAGAGACAACACACUUGUUUUGAACUGACCACAACCUCCAUUCCCCAUGCCUCUGUGCUGCUUGGAGGGGAGGGUGUAUGAGAGGAACACAGAAUCAUUCUCUUUUGGCUAAACUGAAGUAAACCAGAAGGAGUCCUGCUGAAGCUAGCUGGUAGUACAACAUGUCUGCAUGUGAGGAAAGCAACAAAUCUAGGAUUGGCUGCAAAGCAUCUUGUUUAUUUUGCUGGUCUCAGCAGGCUCUUCAUAAGCUGAGCCCAUCAGGAAUGCUCAUGGUGCCUCUGUGAUAACGUAUUUUGGAAAGGGUAAAAAUCACUGUACAGCAGCAAGAUAAACAGCUCUGCAGACACUAAGGUCAGUAAAGGACAAGGGAGAGGCAACGCUCCAGGUACAAAUCAAACAUUUGCCUGCAUCCCAUGGAAGAACCCCCACUGGAGCAGGUGGAUAUGCCCUGGAAAGAGAAGAGACCACACUGCAGCAGGCUACUGGCAUGUGGAGAGGAGCAGGCUUUCUGUCAGGCACUACCACUUGUGGGAACCUACGCUGGAACUGUCUGUUUCUGAAGGACUAUAUCCCCUGGAAAGGAACUCUAGCACAUGGGAAGGAUCCACACAGGAGGAAUUUGUGAAAGACUUCAUCACAUGGGAGGGACUUGACACUGAAACAAGGGAAAAGUGAGAAGGAAGAAGGAGCAGCAGAGACAAAAUGUUAUGAACUAACUGUAACCUCCAUUCCUAAUUCCUCUCCACUGCUUCAGGCAGGGAGGUGAUAGAAGUGGUAGGAAGAAAGAAGUGAAGUUGACCCUGGGAAGAAGGGGAGGGUAGGGGAAAGAUGUUUUUAUUUCUGUCUUUGUUUCUCACCAUCCUACACCAUUUCCACUUGGCAUUAAAUAAAUUUUUCCCCACUCAAGCAUCUUUUGCCUGUGGUGGUAAAUCAGUGUUUUCCUUUGCUUUCUCUCUGAGACUUUUCACCUAUUUUCUCCCCUAUUACUGAUGAGAAGAGGGAGUGAGGAAGUGGCUUAGGGGGCAUCUGACAGCCAACCAAGGGUAACCCAUCACAGUGCUGCAUGUGUGUACUCUUUGGAAAUACCAUAUUUCAACAUUAUACUUGUGAUUUAGCUGAACUUUUCACAUCAAUUUCACUGCUGUGAAAAUCAGAAAAGGAUAUAAUUUGGCAUAUUUAAAAUUAAUU
Corvus hawaiiensis (hawaiian crow) is the source of this 1535-nucleotide long non-coding RNA. RefSeq lists it as uncharacterized. Lineage: Eukaryota; Metazoa; Chordata; Aves; Passeriformes; Corvidae. The record is from RefSeq and is a predicted model, not a curated record. The transcript is spliced from 4 exons.